GAGUCUGUUGUUAUUAUUCAUAUUAAUUUUUUUAAAAGUUUUUAUUUUUUAUUUUAGUUUAUUUAAUUUUAAAAGAUGUAAUAAAUUUUAGGAAUAGAUAAUAAUAAUUUAUAAUUUUGAUUAGAUGUAUUUGUUAAUGCUAUAAAAUGGGUGUGGAAAUAUUUGUAAAAUUUAUAACAUAAUAAUAAUAAUAAAUCACAUUAAAUUAUUAGUCAGAAAUGGAUGCCAGCCGUUGCGGUAAUUUCUAUGCUUUUAAAUAUUAUACAUUUAUCAAAUAAAAUUGUUAAUAUCAAAUUUUAGCCAAAAAAAAUUAUUGUUAACCUUUAUUUGUUUUUAAACACCAUAUGGUAUAUGCAAAUAUAAAAUUAUAGUAAUUAUGUAUUAUAUUAUAUUAUAUUUAUUCACAUAUUUUACAUAAAAAUAUUUAAUGAUUUUGACACCAUGAUAAGGCUUUAAAUAUUGAAAUUGUAAAUUUUAUAAUCAAAACUUAUUAUUUAUAUGAAAUAUUAAAAUUUAGAUAAAACAAUAAAUUAAAAAGGUAUUGUUGCCCACCAAUUUUUAUAAUAAAAAUAACGUGCAGUAAUUAAUAUAUUUAUAAAAAUGUAUUUU
RNAcentral lists this ribosomal RNA (609 nucleotides) under Trypanosoma musculi. RNAcentral's name for it is "9S ribosomal RNA". It matches the Rfam family "Trypanosomatid mitochondrial small subunit ribosomal RNA". Lineage: Eukaryota; Euglenozoa; Kinetoplastea; Trypanosomatida; Trypanosomatidae. The record is from RNAcentral.